This 327-nucleotide ribosomal RNA is filed under the name Guimaraesiella sp. IZGAS 1_J0095. Its description in RNAcentral is "partial small subunit ribosomal RNA". Lineage: Eukaryota; Metazoa; Arthropoda; Insecta; Psocodea; Philopteridae. The record is from RNAcentral.
UCCUCUUAAUGAAGGUGAGUGGGAUAAAAAUAAGAAGUAUGGCGGUCUUCGAUCCUGUCAGAGGGACAUGUAUUUAGUAAACGAAUUUGCACGAAAAUCUGUCCUAGCUUAGAAUAAUUCAUUUUGUACACCGCUGUCUGAAAGAAAUUACAAAGGUAUUUUCUUGCUUCUUGUAUAGAAGUAAGGCAAGUUAAGGUGCAGAUUAUAGUUAGGGUAAUAUGUGUUCCAAUAAGAAUUAUGGACCUAUUGAAUGGAAGUAUUAGGUAAAGAGAAUUUGAUAGUAAGAUUAACUAUUAAAUUCAUCUGAAAUUGGGCUAUAGAAGGUGU